GUAGUCUCGCACAGAUGCAUAUCAAUAAGCGGAGGAAAAGAAACUAACAAGGAUUCCCCUAGUAACGGCGAGCGAAGCGGGAAGAGCUCAAAUUUGAAAUCUUAAAGGGUUUCCCUUUACGAAUUGUAGUUUAAAGAAGUGUUUUCUGUUGAGGUUUUGGUAAAAGUUCUUUGGAAUAGGACAUCAUAGAGGGUGAGAAUCCCGUAUUUGACCUUUACUUUCAACUUUGUGAUACACUUUCAAAGAGUCGGAUUGUUUGGGAAUGCAGUCCAAAAUGGGUGGUAAAUUUCAUCUAAAGCUAAAUAUUGGCGAGAGACCGAUAGCGAACAAGUACCGUGAGGGAAAGAUGAAAAGAACUUUGAAAAGAGAGUUAAACAGUACGUGAAAUUGUCAAAAGGGAAGCGUUUGACACCAGUGUUGUUUUUCUGAAAAUCAAUUAAAGAACUGUUUAUGCUAAGUUGUUUAGACUUUAUCAGCUAACUGUUUAGUUUUGAGCUUUUCUUUAAUGCACUUUUCAGUUAACAAGUCAACAUCAAUUUCUUUUGCUGUAAAAAAGCUUGAGGAAGGUGGCUUGAGAUUCGUCUUAAGUGUUUAUAGCCUCUUGCCUAUGCAGUCGGAGAGAUUGAGGUCUGCAGCGUAGAUCCUUCGGGGCUAAAUGCAUUUGUGCUAAGUUAUAGCAUUUUAUAGACAACUUGUUGACUAUGAUUUGUCUUGUAGCUUACUCGCUUAUGUUAUUUUACCUACGCUUAGGAUGUUGAUCUGUAGUGCGUGCGC
RNAcentral lists this ribosomal RNA (774 nucleotides) under uncultured Neocallimastigales. RNAcentral's name for it is "partial large subunit ribosomal RNA". It matches the Rfam family "Eukaryotic large subunit ribosomal RNA", at positions 24 to 646 of the family's 3401-position model. Lineage: Eukaryota; Fungi; Neocallimastigomycota; Neocallimastigomycetes; Neocallimastigales. The record is from RNAcentral.